This 513-nucleotide ribosomal RNA is filed under the name uncultured bacterium. Its description in RNAcentral is "partial 16S ribosomal RNA". It matches the Rfam family "Bacterial small subunit ribosomal RNA", at positions 29 to 523 of the family's 1533-position model. The record is from RNAcentral.
AACGAACGCUGGCGGCGUGCCUAACGCAUGCAAGUCGAGCGCGAAAAGGGCAACCUGAGUAGAGCGGCGCACGGGUGCGUAACACGUGGGUAAUCUGCCUUAGAGUCGAGGAUAACCUUCCGAAAGGUUGGCUAAUACUCGGUAAGCUUACGGUGUCUUCGGACGCUGUGGGAAAAGUAGGCCUCUGUUUACAAGCUUACGCUCUGAGAUGAGCCCGCGGCCCAUCAGCUAGUUGGCGGUGUAACGGACCACCAAGGCAACGACGGGUAGCUGGUCUGAGAGGACGAUCAGCCACACUGGAACUGCGACACGGUCCAGACUCCUACGGGAGGCAGCAGUGGGGAAUUUUCCACAAUGGGCGAAAGCCUGAUGGAGCAACGCCGCGUGUGUGAUGAAGGUUUUCGGAUCGUAAGGCACUUUCGACCGGGACGAAAAACCUCUGGCUAACAUCCAGGGGCCUGACGGCACCGGGAGAAGAAGCACCGGCUAACUCUGUGCCAGCCGCCGCGGUAA